AAGUGAAAUAUCCCGCCGAUGCGGGAUGUGAAAAUGUUUGCCUUNGCGCAAACGUGAAAUAUUGCUCCUUCGUCGCAAUGUGAAAUGAAAU
This 91-nucleotide non-coding RNA is filed under the name unclassified sequences. Its description in RNAcentral is "Gut-1 RNA". It matches the Rfam family "Gut-1 RNA". RNAcentral also lists the same sequence under 1 other name. The record is from RNAcentral.